Molecule: ribosomal RNA, 253 nt
Filed under: uncultured bacterium
Lineage: Bacteria
Description: partial 16S ribosomal RNA
Rfam family: Bacterial small subunit ribosomal RNA
Source: RNAcentral
UACGAAGGGGGCUAGCGUUGUUCGGAAUUACUGGGCGUAAAGCGCGCGCAGGCGGUUCUUCAAGUCAGUGGUGAAAGCCCGGAGCUCAACUCCGGAACUGCCAUUGAAACUGUAGAACUUGAGGAUGAGAGAGGUGAGUGGAAUUCCCAGUGUAGAGGUGAAAUUCGUAGAUAUUCGCAAGAACACCGGUGGCGAAGGCGGGUCUCUGGGCAGUAACUGACGCUGAGGAGCGAAAGCGUGGGGAGCGAACAGG